This 800-nucleotide ribosomal RNA is filed under the name uncultured bacterium. RNAcentral's name for it is "bacterial SSU rRNA". It matches the Rfam family "Bacterial small subunit ribosomal RNA", at positions 8 to 796 of the family's 1533-position model. The record is from RNAcentral.
AGAGUUUGAUCAUGGCUCAGGAUGAACGCUGGCGGCGUGCCUAACACAUGCAAGUCGAACGGAGAUUGGAAGAGCGAGGAGCCAGCUUGCUGGCAACGAGCAUUUCCAAUUUUAGUGGCGGACGGGUGAGUAACGCGUGGGUAACCUGCCUCAUACAGGGGGAUAACAGUUAGAAAUGACUGCUAAAACCGCAUAACAUGGCGAUACCGCAUGAUAUUGCCAUCAAAUAUUUAUAGGUAUGAGAUGGGCCCGCGUCUGAUUAGCCAGUUGGCAGGGUAAUGGCCUACCAAAGCGACGAUCAGUAGCCGGCUUGAGAGAGUGACCGGCCACAUUGGGACUGAGACACGGCCCAAACUCCUACGGGAGGCAGCAGUGGGGGAUAUUGCACAAUGGGGGAAACCCUGAUGCAGCGACGCCGCGUGAGUGAAGAAGUAUUUCGGUAUGUAAAGCUCUAUCAGCAGGGAAGAAAAAAAUGACAGUACCUGACUAAGAAGCCCCGGCUAACUACGUGCCAGCAGCCGCGGUAAUACGUAGGGGGCAAGCGUUAUCCGGAUUUACUGGGUGUAAAGGGAGCGUAGGCGGUGCGGCAAGUCAGAAGUGAAAGCCCGGGGCUCAACCCCGGGACUGCUUUUGAAACUGUCGGACUGGAGUGUCGGAGAGGUAAGUGGAAUUCCUAGUGUAGCGGUGAAAUGCGUAGAUAUUAGGAGGAACACCAGUGGCGAAGGCGGCUUACUGGACGAUAACUGACGCUGAGGCUCGAAAGCGUGGGGAGCAAACAGGAUUAGAUACCCUGGUAGUCC